GCUGGGUGUGAUGGCAUGCGUCUGUAGUCCUGGCUAAUUGGGAGGCUGAGGUGGGAGGAUUGUUUGAGUCCAGGAGUUCUGGGCUGUUGUGCGCUAUGCCGAUUGGGUGUCUGCACUAAGUGCGGCAUCAAUAUGGUGACCUUCCGGGAUUGGGGCACCGCUAGGUUACCUAAGGAGGGGUGAACCAGCCCAGAAACUGAGCGGAUCAAAACUCCAGUGCUGAUCGAUACUGGGAUUGCGCCUGUGAAUAUAGUCUCUGCACUCCAGCCUGGGCAACAUACAGAGACCCUGUCUUUUU
RNAcentral lists this signal recognition particle RNA (298 nucleotides) under Pongo abelii (Sumatran orangutan). It matches the Rfam family "Metazoan signal recognition particle RNA". From Rfam's summary of the family: The signal recognition particle (SRP) is a universally conserved ribonucleoprotein. It is involved in the co-translational targeting of proteins to membranes. The eukaryotic SRP consists of a 300-nucleotide 7S RNA and six proteins: SRPs 72, 68, 54, 19, 14, and 9. Lineage: Eukaryota; Metazoa; Chordata; Mammalia; Primates; Hominidae. The record is from RNAcentral.